RNAcentral lists this ribosomal RNA (1432 nucleotides) under Phaenopsectra flavipes. RNAcentral describes it as "16S ribosomal RNA". Lineage: Eukaryota; Metazoa; Arthropoda; Insecta; Diptera; Chironomidae. The record is from RNAcentral.
AAUAAUAAAUUUAAUUAUUAUUAAUUGUUUGUUUAUAAUUAUUUUUUUUUAAUAAAAAUAUUUUUUUUUGUUUGUGUCAUAAAAAUAAAAAUAAUAUUUAUAUUUUUAUAGUUUAAAGUAAAGAGAUUGAAAAUUGAAAUAAUAUUGAAAUAUUUAUUUGAAAAAAAGAAUAAUUAAUUUUUUGUUCCUUGUGUAUCAGGAUUUAUUUAAUUUUAAAUUUAAGAUUUUAAUUAAUUUAUAAUUUAAAAAAUUAAAAAUUUUUUAAGUUUUAUUGUUUAAUAAAUAUUAUUUAAAAAUUUUUAAAAAUUAAAUGUUAAUUGUUUUUGAAGUUAUAUAAUUUUUAAAGAAAUAAAUUCAAUUUAUAAAUAAUUUUUUAUUAAUAUUAAAAAUUUAUAUGUAUAUUUAAAUAAUAAUAGUAUUAAAAUUAGAUUAUUUUUAUAUUUUAGGGGUUGAGCUUUAAAAUAAAUUUUUAAAAAUAUUAUUAAAUUUAAAAAAAAAAUAAUCUUAAAAAUAGGUAUUUUUAAUUAAAAUGUUUUAAUUAAUUUUUUUUUAAUAAAAUUUUUUAUAUAUUUUUUAAUUUUUUAUUUAAAAUAAUAUUUUAAUAAAAAAGAUAUUUUAAUAAUAAUUAAAUUAGUAGUUUUAUUUAUUUUAAAAAUAAAAAAAGAUGAGUUUUUAAUAAUAUAAAUUCGGCAAUAUUAUUUUUAUAUGUUUAACAAAAACAUUGUUUUUUUUUUAUUAUUUUUAAAAAAUAAGGCCUGCACACUGAAUAAUUUUAAAGAGCCGCGGUAAUUUGACCGUGCAAAGGUAGCAUAAUCAUUAGUUUUUUAAUUGAAGACUGGAAUGAAAGGUUUGAUAAAAAAUAAGCUUUAUUAUUUUAAAAUAAAAUGAAUUUAUUAUUUUAGUAAAAAAACUAAAAUAAUUGUAAAAGACGAUAAGACCCUAUAAAGCUUUAUAUUUUAUUUUUUAUUAUUAAUUUAUAGAAUAUUAAAAAUUUUAAAAUUUAAAUUAUUUGAUUGGGGUGAUUUUAAGAUUUAAUUAACUCUUUUUAUUUAAUAUUCAUUUUUAUAUGUUUUAUUUAUGAUCCUAAAAUUUGGAUUAUUAAAUUAAGUUACUUUAGGGAUAACAGCGUAAUUUUUUUGGAGAGUUCAAAUCGAUAAAAAAGUUUGCGACCUCGAUGUUGGAUUAAGAUAUAAGUUUAGGUGUAGAAGUUUAAAUUUUUAGUCUGUUCGACUAUUUAUUCUUACAUGAUCUGAGUUCAAACCGGUUUAAGCCAGGUUGGUUUCUAUCUUUAUAAUUAAUAAUUAUAUUUUAGUACGAAAGGACCAAAUAUAAAAAUUUUUUAUUUAUUAAUAUAUUUGACAAAAAUUAAAUAUUAAAUUUAUUUAUUUAAAAAUUUAAUAUAUAAAUAAAAAUUAUAAAUUUUAUUAUUUAA